GGUAAAAUGGCUAAGCUAGGCAUUGAACUGUAAAUUCAAAGACAGAGAAUAAUAUCUCUUUUUACCA
This 67-nucleotide transfer RNA is filed under the name Monodelphis domestica (gray short-tailed opossum). It matches the Rfam family "tRNA". Rfam says of the family: Transfer RNA (tRNA) molecules are approximately 80 nucleotides in length. Their secondary structure includes four short double-helical elements and three loops (D, anti-codon, and T loops). Lineage: Eukaryota; Metazoa; Chordata; Mammalia; Didelphimorphia; Didelphidae. The record is from Rfam by way of RNAcentral.